CUUCUCCCCGCUCCAGCCAAUCUGCCGCGCCUCCCCCUCCCCUCCCUCUCCCUGCGCGUGGACCAUGGGCGCGCGCGGGAUGUUGGCGGGCAGUUGGGGCAUGAACUGCCCGUGAGGAGGCCAGAAAGCAGGUGCAGCUGGCGCAGACGUGUCAUGCUGAGACGCCCUCGCCCGGAGGUUGAACAGCGCAGAGUUGGUGAGGAUUACAAGGAAUGUAAGGGUGACUAGAGUAAAGCUCUGCGAAAAGGGCGUUAGCCGCACUAUACACCUGAACACCUGAGCGCUGUCCCUACCAUAGUUUUCCAGCUGAUGGGUUCUACAAAGCUGUUGAUAACGCCAGCAAAGGUUUCGGCGAUGAUGUUGAUUCUUCCAACAACAGUAGGAUCUCGGUUCAUGCAAGCUUCCCAGGCUCUACAUGGAGCGUCCCUGUCGGAUCGUCAGACGAGGUUGGGGGAAGGUGGGCUUACAUAUGGGGUAUUCUGUUUGAGCUACACAUAUUUGUCAAGUACAUGUUGGUACACUCGGCAAUCUCCUGCAGUAUUUCUGGCAAACGGGAGUGAACAUGUGUCUGCUACUCAUUACACAGCUCACUCACCGACAGAAUACUCGUUCAUCUUAUCCUUGACAUCCCUCCUUACAGUCAAGACAAACAGGAUUACCAGGUAGAUGCAGAAGAGAACAAUGGAUGUGUUUACAAAGAACUGAAGGUAGCUAGGGGGCAGACUGAGCUGAUAAUCCCAUCGUGACAAUCCAGAGACUUACCCCAACAGGAGGGCCGGUAUUUCAGAGUGUCUGAGAGACGGGGCAGCCAUAUGUACACUGUAGUGGUGUUCUGAUUUUGUGAAUGCAGGCGU
RNAcentral lists this small RNA (854 nucleotides) under Cryptococcus neoformans H99. Its description in RNAcentral is "Cryptococcus neoformans var. grubii H99 hypothetical RNA". The record is from RNAcentral. Lineage: Eukaryota; Fungi; Basidiomycota; Tremellomycetes; Tremellales; Cryptococcaceae.